UCGGGAAUUUUGGGCAAUGGGCGAAAGCCUGACCCAGCAACGCCGCGUGAAGGAUGAAGUAUUUCGGUAUGUAAACUUCGUAAGAAUAGGAAGAAUAAAUGACGGUACUAUUUGUAAGGUCCGGCUAACUACGUGCCAGCAGCCGCGGUAAUACGUAGGGACCAAGCGUUGUUCGGAUUUACUGGGCGUAAAGGGCGCGUAGGCGGCGUGGUAAGUCACUUGUGAAAUCUCCGAGCUUAACUCGGAACGGUCAAGUGAUACUGCUGUGCUAGAGUACAGAAGGGGCAAUCGGAAUUCUUGGUGUAGCGGUGAAAUGCGUAGAUAUCAAGAGGAACACCUGAGGUGAAGACGGGUUGCUGGGCUGAUACUGACGCUGAGGCGCGAAAGCUAGGGUAGCAAACGGGAUUAGAUACCCGUGUAGUCCCUGAGCGGGCUGGCAAGGCGCAU
Molecule: ribosomal RNA, 447 nt
Filed under: uncultured bacterium
Lineage: Bacteria
Description: bacterial SSU rRNA
Rfam family: Bacterial small subunit ribosomal RNA
Source: RNAcentral